UACGGAGGGUGCAAGCGUUGUCCGGAUUUAUUGGGUUUAAAGGGUGCGUAGGCGGUCUUUUAAGUCAGUGGUGAAAUCCUCCAGCUCAACUGGAGAACUGCCAUUGAUACUGGAAGACUUGAGUAUAGUUGAGGUAGGCGGAAUUGACGGUGUAGCGGUAAAAUGCAUAGAUAUCGUCAAGAACCCCGAUUGCGAAGGCAGCUUACUAAACUAUAACUGACGCUGAGGCACGAAAGUGCGGGGAUCAAACAGG
Molecule: ribosomal RNA, 253 nt
Filed under: uncultured bacterium
Lineage: Bacteria
Description: partial 16S ribosomal RNA
Rfam family: Bacterial small subunit ribosomal RNA
Source: RNAcentral